GGUGCUAUACUUUAAAUUAAAAGACCUGUUUUGCAUUCAGAAAUUAAGAAAAUUCUUUAGCGCUG
This 65-nucleotide transfer RNA is filed under the name Parborlasia corrugatus (corrugated ribbon worm). RNAcentral describes it as "tRNA-Ala". Lineage: Eukaryota; Metazoa; Nemertea; Pilidiophora; Heteronemertea; Lineidae. The record is from RNAcentral.